AACCGUUCUUUAGCCUUAGAGAGUGUGUGAAAUUUUUACUGUGUAGAAGUACAGGGGGAUUUUAGUGUAAAAAUUGGAACACUUAAUGGAACACUUUUUAAAAUUUUCAAGUCAAAUGUUAGUAUUUGAAACCCUCCUUAGAGUCACUCUUUUGUUGGAAAGAUACCCAAUUGAAGAUGAAAAGCAUAAGUCCAUAGGGAGGAAGGUGAGAGGCCGCUGGUGCCUGGCCUGUCUGGGAAGUGCUGUUGAAAGAAAGAGAGACUGAGGAGAAUUAAAAUGCACUUAUAAACUUGGAUUCACGUUUGUUAGCAACUUGAUCCAUAAAUAAGCAUGAAUUA
RNAcentral lists this long non-coding RNA (338 nucleotides) under Bos taurus (domestic cattle). RNAcentral's name for it is "long non-coding RNA NONBTAT009231". The record is from RNAcentral. Lineage: Eukaryota; Metazoa; Chordata; Mammalia; Artiodactyla; Bovidae.